CAUGACCGCAGCAGGAGGGAGGAGCCAACGGUGCCACGUGGUUCCCAAAUGCCAAGCAUAGCCUGAGAGAGGAGGAAACAGGAGAGAAGGGGAGGCCGGGGGGCCGCUUGGUGCCCAAGAUUUCUCAGACGUCCCAGAGCCCUGACUCUGCUGCCAGCUUGCUUUACAGUGAGGCCAAGGAAGGAGCCACGGAGGGUGUGCUGGCCCUAGGAGCAGGAUUCCUGUGUGUUCACUAAGCUUGCAGCAUCAAGAAGCCACCAGCCAGCAUGGACAUGAGGGAAAACAAAACACUCAUGGGAAGAAGCGGGACCAGGCUCCAGCCGCAAAGUCGCCCUUCAUGCUUCACGCAAGAAAAAGGCCUCAGAGGGAGCUGUGAGGACAUGAUCAAAUCACUGUGCCAGCUGGUCACCAGGGGGCCACCACUCCAAGGAACCCUGAAGAUGGUGGACAGGAAUUAGGAAGUGUUGAACCGUCUUAGAUGGAAUGCUGUUCAUAUGAAAGCAAGACGCUCUAUCCUAGAAUUGCUUUUAUCAUUUGGUUCUAUUGCCACUUUUCGAAAAUUGUGUGACGUGAAGCAUGCAGAAAUAAAAAGAAGUAACACAGAAAUUCUCAGGUCCAUCAGC
This 623-nucleotide long non-coding RNA is filed under the name Homo sapiens (human). RNAcentral describes it as "HSALNT0338734". Lineage: Eukaryota; Metazoa; Chordata; Mammalia; Primates; Hominidae. The record is from RNAcentral.